RNAcentral lists this ribosomal RNA (497 nucleotides) under uncultured bacterium. RNAcentral describes it as "partial 16S ribosomal RNA". It matches the Rfam family "Bacterial small subunit ribosomal RNA", at positions 28 to 507 of the family's 1533-position model. The record is from RNAcentral.
GACGAACGCUGGCGGCGUGCCUAAUACAUGCAAGUUGAGCGCUGAAGGUUGGUACUUGUACCCACUGGAUGAGCAGCGAACGGGUGAGUAACGCGUGGGGAAUCUGCCUUUGAGCGGGGGACAACAUUUGGAAACGAAUGCUAAUACCGCAUAAAAACUUUAAACACAAGUUUUAAGUUUGAAAGAUGCAAUUGCAUCACUCAAAGAUGAUCCCGCGUUGUAUUAGCUAGUUGGUGAGGUAAAGGCUCACCAAGGCGAUGAUACAUAGCCGACCUGAGAGGGUGAUCGGCCACAUUGGGACUGAGACACGGCCCAAACUCCUACGGGAGGCAGCAGUAGGGAAUCUUCGGCAAUGGACGAAAGGCUGACCGAGCGACGCCGCGUGAGUGAAGAAGGUUUUCGGAUCGUAAAACUCUGUUGGUAGAGAAGAACGUUGGUGAGAGUGGAAAGCUCAUCAAGUGACGGUAACUACCCAGAAAGGGACGGCUAACUACGUG